Molecule: ribosomal RNA, 497 nt
Filed under: uncultured bacterium
Lineage: Bacteria
Description: partial 16S ribosomal RNA
Rfam family: Bacterial small subunit ribosomal RNA
Source: RNAcentral
GAUGAACGCUGGCGGCGUGCCUAAUACAUGCAAGUCGAGCGAACAGACGAGGAGCUUGCUCCUCUGACGUUAGCGGCGGACGGGUGAGUAACACGUGGAUAACCUACCUAUAAGACUGGGAUAACUUCGGGAAACCGGAGCUAAUACCGGAUAAUAUAUUGAACCGCAUGGUUCAAUAGUGAAAGACGGUUUUGCUGUCACUUAUAGAUGGAUCCGCGCCGCAUUAGCUAGUUGGUAAGGUAACGGCUUACCAAGGCGACGAUGCGUAGCCGACCUGAGAGGGUGAUCGGCCACACAGGAGCUGGGCCACGGUCCAGACUCCUACGGGAGGCAGAAGUAGCGAAUCUUCCGCAAUGGGCGAAAGACUGACGGAGGAGCGCCGCGUGGGUGAUGAAGGUCUUCGGAUCGUAAAACUCUGUUAUUAGGGAAGACCAAAUGUGUAAGUAACGAUGCACGUCUUGACGGUACCUAAUCAGAAAGCCACGGCUAACUACGUG